GAUGAACGCUAGCUACAGGCUUAACACAUGCAAGUCGAGGGGCAGCAUGGUCUUAGCUUGCUAAGGCCGAUGGCGACCGGCGCACGGGUGAGUAACACGUAUCCAACCUGCCGUCUACUCUUGGACAGCCUUCUGAAAAGGAAGAUUAAUACAAGAUGGCAUCAUGAGUCCGCAUGUUCACAUGAUUAAAGGUAUUCCGGUAGACGAUGGGGAUGCGUUCCAUUAGAUAGUAGGCGGGUAACGGCCCACCUAGUCUUCGAUGGAUAGGGGUUCUGAGAGGAAGGUCCCCACAUUGGAACUGAGACAACGGCCCAGACUCCUACGGAGGCAGCAGUGAGGAAUAUGU
RNAcentral lists this ribosomal RNA (346 nucleotides) under uncultured bacterium. Its description in RNAcentral is "bacterial SSU rRNA". It matches the Rfam family "Bacterial small subunit ribosomal RNA", at positions 28 to 366 of the family's 1533-position model. The record is from RNAcentral.